This 253-nucleotide ribosomal RNA is filed under the name uncultured bacterium. Its description in RNAcentral is "partial 16S ribosomal RNA". It matches the Rfam family "Bacterial small subunit ribosomal RNA", at positions 524 to 776 of the family's 1533-position model. The record is from RNAcentral.
UACGUAGGUGGCAAGCGUUGUCCGGAUUUACUGGGCGUAAAGAGCGCGCAGGCGGUCGUUCAAGUCGCGUGUGAAAGCCCCCGGCUCAACUGGGGAGGGUCACGCGAUACUGAUCGACUCGAAGGCAGGAGAGGGUAGUGGAAUUCCCGGUGUAGUGGUGAAAUGCGUAGAUAUCGGGAGGAACACCAGUGGCGAAGGCGGCUUUCUGGGCCUUACCUGACGCUGAGACGCGAAAGCGUGGGGAGCGAACCGG